GUUAGAAGAGCUGUUGUUUCGUUUUCUAAAACAAACUACCAACUCUGCAGGCAUGCAAAGAAGUGUACUAUGGUCCCAAGUGAGUGUUUCUCCCAAGAGUCUGUAUUUUUCCCUAGCUCAACUCACUUCCUGGUCAGCAAUAGGAUUCAUAAGUAAAUGACUGAAGAGGAAACAAGUUCACAGGUGGUGGUCCCUGUUGCUUUGUUUCUUCUGGCUUAAAUUCCGAAGAGAGAAUACUGGUGAUUGGGUUACCUCACUCAGAAUGGUUUAGAAACUGGAAUCAGCCUAGAUGCCCCUCAAUCAAAGAACGGAUAGAGAAAAUGUGGUACAUUUACACAAUGGAGUACUACUCAGCGGGAAAAAAAAAACAAUGAAAUCAUGAAAUUUUCAGGAAAAUGGAUGGAGCAAGGUGCAAUAUUAUAGCACCCACUUCAGCCUACCUGACCAGCACACGCCUUUAAUGCCAGUAAUGCAAGAAAGAUAUGCAUUAAUAGAAAUCGCAUUGAAGUGUGUCCCAGUUUCACUCCCUGGGAGUCUGUAAAGGAAAGAGAAAUCUUCACAAGCCACAUCUUUGGGAUGUUUUAAGUCAUCUUCUAAACAAAGUACUUUAUCCUGGACCUGCUAAAUACAAAUGUACAAGACAACAUCGCGCUUCCAAAGGCUUUCUGUGGAUAAAUAAAUUCCUUCAUGACUACGAUUUCAUUUGCUCAACUCUGGUUAUAAAAUGACCCCAUAAAUUCACUAACGGUAUUGCACUAUACAUGGAGAUCAGGCAUUUUUCAGGGAAAUACUAAGGCAGCUGUUACAGAUUAUGCCUCCUGAAAAACAAGCGGCUGUGUCAUAGUCUGAAAUAACAUGGACGCUGUGCUGUGCACUUCUCAAGCUGGUUCUCGUAUUCAGUAUUUCUAGUAAAUGGAUGCAAAUCAGGUUCAUUGUGCUUCGAUGGGAAGGGGGGAGAUUUGUCCAGAAAUGACCUCAGUUCUAUUCAUUAAUAAAAUGACACUUUGGCCGAGAGCAGUGAAGAAUGAAAUAUAACAAGAGUGAACUUUCCUCCAUGGGACAGAUGUACAUAGAGCUUUUCCUUGGAGAAUGCACUGUAUGUAAAAUGGCCACUGCAACAUAAUAUCUGACAACAUGAAAGGGACCUCUAAGAUGCAGAUUGCUUGGAGGAAAAUCACAACGUCCAUGGCGGUGCAUACCCUGAGUCCCUAGAUACUGUACAGCU
RNAcentral lists this long non-coding RNA (1225 nucleotides) under Cricetulus griseus (Chinese hamster). RNAcentral's name for it is "lncRNA (ENSCGRG00015039691.1)". The record is from RNAcentral. Lineage: Eukaryota; Metazoa; Chordata; Mammalia; Rodentia; Cricetidae.